UGACAACUUUCAGCGACGGAUAUCUCGGCUCAAACAACGAUGAAGGGCGCAGCGAAGUGUGAUAAGCAUUGUGAAUUGCAGAUUUCCGUGAGUCAAUAGAAACCUGAACGCAUUCUGCGCUUUCGGGAUAUUCCUGAAAGCAUGCCUGCUUCAGUGUCUACUUUCUUCUGCCAG
RNAcentral lists this ribosomal RNA (174 nucleotides) under Unruhdinium jiulongense. Its description in RNAcentral is "5.8S ribosomal RNA". The stretch from base 5 to 159 matches the Rfam family "5.8S ribosomal RNA". Rfam says of the family: 5.8S ribosomal RNA (5.8S rRNA) is a component of the large subunit of the eukaryotic ribosome. The record is from RNAcentral. Lineage: Eukaryota; Dinophyceae; Peridiniales; Kryptoperidiniaceae.